RNAcentral lists this ribosomal RNA (258 nucleotides) under uncultured bacterium. RNAcentral describes it as "partial 16S ribosomal RNA". It matches the Rfam family "Bacterial small subunit ribosomal RNA", at positions 1234 to 1500 of the family's 1533-position model. The record is from RNAcentral.
CGAUGGCAAAGGGCAGCUACCUGGCGACAGGAUGCUAAUCUCCAAACCAUGUCUCAGUUCGGAUCGGAGUCUGCAACUCGACUCCGUGAAGCUGGAUUCGCUAGUAAUCGCGCAUCAGCCAUGGCGCGGUGAAUACGUUCCCGGGCCUUGUACACACCGCCCGUCAAGCCAUGGGAGCCGGGGGCGCCUGAAGUCCGGGACCGCGAGGACCGGCCUAGGGCGAAACUGGUAACUGGGGCUAAGUCGUAACAAGGUACC